UCUAAUAUGGCAGAAAUAAUGCAUUGAAUUUAAGCUUCAAAUAUAAAGAAUUACUUUUAUUAGAA
This 65-nucleotide transfer RNA is filed under the name Teredorus guangxiensis. Its description in RNAcentral is "tRNA-Leu". The record is from RNAcentral. Lineage: Eukaryota; Metazoa; Arthropoda; Insecta; Orthoptera; Tetrigidae.